Molecule: Y RNA, 96 nt
Filed under: Microcebus murinus (gray mouse lemur)
Lineage: Eukaryota; Metazoa; Chordata; Mammalia; Primates; Cheirogaleidae
Description: Y RNA (ENSMICG00000048072.1)
Rfam family: Y RNA
About the family: Y RNAs are components of the Ro ribonucleoprotein particle (Ro RNP), in association with Ro60 and La proteins. The Y RNAs and Ro60 and La proteins are well conserved, but the function of the Ro RNP is not known.
Source: Rfam by way of RNAcentral
GGCUGGUGCCAUGGUAGUGGGCUAUCAGGACUUACUCACAUUAGUGUCGCUGAAGUUGGUGUUCAAACCCCCACUGCUAAAUUUGACUGGCUUUAA